Molecule: ribosomal RNA, 495 nt
Filed under: uncultured bacterium
Lineage: Bacteria
Description: partial 16S ribosomal RNA
Rfam family: Bacterial small subunit ribosomal RNA
Source: RNAcentral
GACGAACGCUGGCGGCGUGCCUAAUACAUGCAAGUAGAACGCUGAAGGAGGAGCUUGCUUCUCUGGAUGAGUUGCGAACGGGUGAGUAACGCGUAGGUAACCUGCCUGGUAGCGGGGACUAACUGUUGGAACCGAUAGCUAAUACCGCAUAAUAGCAGUUGUUGCAUGACAACUGUUUGAAAGGUGCAAUUGCACCACUACCAGAUGGACAUGCGUUGUAUUAGCUAGUUGGUGGGGUAACGGCUCACCAAGGCGACGAUUCAUAGCCGACCUGAGAGGGUGAUCGGCUAGCCUGGGACUGAGAAACGGCCCAGACUCCUGCGGGAGGCAGCAGUAGGGAAUCUUCGGCAAUGGACGGAAGGCUGACCGAGCAACGCCGCGGGAGUGAAGAAGGUUUUCGGAUCGUAAAGCUCUGUUGUAAGAGAAGAACGAGUGUGAGAGUGGAAAGUUCACACUGUGACGGUACCUAACCAGAAAGGGACGGCUAACUACGUG